Molecule: ribosomal RNA, 253 nt
Filed under: uncultured bacterium
Lineage: Bacteria
Description: partial 16S ribosomal RNA
Rfam family: Bacterial small subunit ribosomal RNA
Source: RNAcentral
UACGAGGGGGGCAAAUGUUGUUCGGAAUCACUGGGCGUAAAGGGUGCGUAGGCGGCGCGGAAAGUCAGGGGUGAAAUCCCGGAGCUCAACUCCGGAACUGCCUUUGAUACUCCCGCGCUUGAGAACUGGAGGGGACAUCGGAAUUCACGGUGGAGCAGUGAAAUGCGUGGAUAUCGUGAGGAACACUAGUGGCGAAGGCGGAUGUCUGGACAGUAUCUGACGCUGAGGCACGAAGGCCAGGGGAGCGAACGGG